This 348-nucleotide unclassified non-coding RNA is filed under the name soil metagenome. Its description in RNAcentral is "partial contains 5.8S ribosomal RNA, internal transcribed spacer 2, and large subunit ribosomal RNA". The stretch from base 5 to 119 matches the Rfam family "5.8S ribosomal RNA", at positions 40 to 154 of the family's 154-position model. The record is from RNAcentral.
GAUGAGAACGUAGCGAAAUGCGAUAAGUAAUGUGAAUUGCAGAAUUCAGUGAAUCAUCGAAUCUUUGAACGCACAUUGCGCCCGCCAGUAUUCUGGCGGGCAUGCCUGUCCGAGCGUCAUUUCAACCCUCGGGACCCUUCGGGGAACCGGUGUUGGGGACCCGUCCGCCGACCCACGGCGGCCGGCCCCGAAAUACAGUGGCGGCCCUGCGGCGACCUCCUCUGCGUAGUAGCGAUACCUCGCAGCUGGAAAGCGGCAGCGGCCACGCCGUAAAACCCCCACUUCUAUGGUUGACCUCGGAUCAGGUAGGAAUACCCGCUGAACUUAAGCAUAUCAAUAAGCGGAGGA